AUGCCGUCCGGCGGCAAGCCGCGGAGGUCCGCGUCCGCCAUCUUCGCCGACACGGCGAGCGGGCACCACCUCCUCACCGUCCAUGGCUACUCCCGCACCAAGGGCGUUCCCACCGGGGAGCGCGUCAAGUCGCGCCCUUUCGCCAUCGGCGGCCACCGCUGGCGCAUCGACUACUACCCCAACGGCGUGCGCGCGGAGGUCGCCGACUACGUGUCCCUCUCCCUGAUGCUCGACGAGGACGAGGACGUCGCGGCGGCGCCGGCGGUGAAGGCCCAGUACGACAUCCGCCUCGCCGGCGAGGCGGAGGAGGAGGAGGAGGAGGGGGCGGCGCUGGCGUCGUCGCCGGUGGACGACUUCACCCCCGGGAGGGGAUGGGUGUACACCACGUUCGUCUCCAGGGAGGAGCUGGAGGGCUCCGAGCAUCUCAGGAACGACUCCUUCACCGUCCGGUGCGACAUCGUCGUCGUCCGCGACUACCGCGCGGAGGACGCGGCGGUGGCAUUCGUCUCCGUUCCCCAGUGCGACCUGCGCCGGGACCUCGCCGGGCUCCUCGAGACCGAGAAGGGCGCCGACGUGGUGUUCGAGGUCGGCGGCGAGACCGUCGCCGCGCACCGGUGCGUGCUCGCGGCCCGCUCCUCGGUCUUCGCCGCCGAGCUCUUCCGGCCGAUGAAGGAGGGCAAUGCCGACGCGGGCGUCAUCGUGCGGGUGGAGGACAUGAAGCCGGAGGUGUUCAAGGCUCUGCUCCGUUUUGCAUACACCGGCUUGCUGCCGGAGACGCGCAAGGAGGACCAAGACGUGACAUGCCAGCACCUGCUCGUCGCGGCGGACAGGUACGGCAUGAGGCGGCUGAAGCUGAUAUGCGAGGAGAAGCUCUGCGAGUGCAUAAACGUGGGCUCGGCGGCGAUCGUCUUGGCGCUGGCCGAGCAGCACCGUUGCGAGGGGCUGAAGAAGGCGUGCUUCGAUUUUCUCGCGGCGCCGGCGAACCUGAGGGCGGUCGUGGCCACCGAAGGCUUCCAGCAUCUGAGCAGGAGCUGCCCUUCACUCAUGGCCGAGGUGAUCACCAUGUCCUUGGGCAUUACUUAG
Molecule: ribosomal RNA, 1083 nt
Filed under: Triticum aestivum (bread wheat)
Lineage: Eukaryota; Viridiplantae; Streptophyta; Magnoliopsida; Poales; Poaceae
Description: partial small subunit ribosomal RNA
Source: RNAcentral